CAUCGCCUCUUGCCUCAAUAAGAGGUCCCGCCUGCCCAGUGACCCAAUUCAACGGCCGCGGUAUCCUGACCGUGCGAAGGUAGCGUAAUCACUUGUUCUUUAAAUAAGGACUAGUAUGAACGGCACCACGAAGGCUGUACUGUCUCCCGCCUUUAAUCAGUGAACUUAAUCUCCCCGUGAAGAAGCGGGGAUAUAAUCAUAAGACGAGAAGACCCCAUGGAGCUUAAAACAAACGGCACCUGCUAACAACUAAGUUAAGCACCUUGACCGUACGUUUUCGGUUGGGGCGACCGCGGAGAACAACCCACCCUCCAUGCUGAAAGAUAACAAUCUUAGCCAAAACAACCCAUUAAAGCACCAGAAUCCUGACAUUCAUUGACCCAAGCUAUUUGAUCAACGAACCAAGUUACCCUGGGGAUAACAGCGCAAUCCACUUCAAGAGCCCCUAUCGACAAGUGGGUUUACGACCUCGAUGUUGGAUCAGGGUCCCCAA
RNAcentral lists this ribosomal RNA (493 nucleotides) under Uperoleia minima (small toadlet). RNAcentral describes it as "partial 16S ribosomal RNA". It matches the Rfam family "Bacterial large subunit ribosomal RNA", at positions 1814 to 2549 of the family's 2925-position model. Lineage: Eukaryota; Metazoa; Chordata; Amphibia; Anura; Myobatrachidae. The record is from RNAcentral.